Molecule: transfer RNA, 63 nt
Filed under: Rhabdopleura compacta
Lineage: Eukaryota; Metazoa; Hemichordata; Pterobranchia; Rhabdopleurida; Rhabdopleuridae
Description: transfer RNA-Cys
Source: RNAcentral
GUUCUUGUAAUUUAAUUAGAAUUUGAUUUUGCAAAAAUUAGAGUGUCUGGCUGACCUUGAGCG